GUCCCCUUGGCGCAAUGGAUAGCGCAACGGACUUCUAAUCCGUAGGCUGUAGGUUCGAAUCCUACAGGGGACG
RNAcentral lists this transfer RNA (73 nucleotides) under Betaproteobacteria bacterium. RNAcentral describes it as "tRNA-Arg". It matches the Rfam family "tRNA". From Rfam's summary of the family: Transfer RNA (tRNA) molecules are approximately 80 nucleotides in length. The record is from RNAcentral. RNAcentral also lists the same sequence under 1 other name. Lineage: Bacteria; Pseudomonadati; Pseudomonadota; Betaproteobacteria.